This 774-nucleotide ribosomal RNA is filed under the name uncultured Neocallimastigales. RNAcentral's name for it is "partial large subunit ribosomal RNA". It matches the Rfam family "Eukaryotic large subunit ribosomal RNA", at positions 25 to 634 of the family's 3401-position model. Lineage: Eukaryota; Fungi; Neocallimastigomycota; Neocallimastigomycetes; Neocallimastigales. The record is from RNAcentral.
CCGCAUCUGUGCAUGCAGCAUAUCAAUAAGCGGAGGAAAAGAAACUAACAAGGAUUCCCUCAGUAACGGCGAGUGAAGCGGGAAGAGCUCAAAUUUGAAAUCUUGAAAGGUCACCUUUCACGAAUUGUAGUUUAAAGAAGUGUUUUCUGUUACGAUCGUAAUAUAAGUUCUUUGGAAUAGGACAUCACAGAGGGUGAGAAUCCCGUCUAUGAUUGCGAUUUGUAGCUUUGUGAUACACUUUCAAAGAGUCGGGUUGUUUGGGAAUGCAGCCCAAAACGGGAGGUAAAUUUCUUCUAAGGCUAAAUAUUGGCGAGAGACCGAUAGCGAACAAGGUACCGUGAGGGAAAGAUGAAAAGAACUUUGAAAAGAGAGUUAAAUAGUACGUGAAAUUGUCAAAAGGGAAGCGUUUAACACCAGUGUUGUUUUCUGAAAAUCAACCUCUGUUAGCUUUAUGCAUGUUUGUUUAGACCUAAUCAGCUAUCUUGCAUGUUCUAUUGUUUGCAGUGGUGCACUUUUCAGUUUACAGGUCAACAUCAGUUUUUUUUACCGUAAAAAAGUUAAAGAAAGGUAGCUCAUGGCUCCGGUCGUGAGUGUUAUAGGUCUUUUUCCUAUGCGGUAGGAGAGACUGAGGUCUGCAGUGUAGGCUAUUUGGCUAGAUACUCAGGUGCUAUGUGAUACCAUUUCAUAAACAACUUGUUGAUUAUGUUUUGUCUAUUGCAUACUCGCUUGUACUAUCAUACCUACGCUUAGGAUGUUGACGAUCAGCUGAGCGCG